GACGAACGCUGGCGGCGCGCUUAACACAUGCAAGUCGAACGGAAAGGCCCGCUUUCCCUUGUGGGUUGCGGGUACUCGAGUGGCGAACGGGUGUGUAACACGUGAGUUAUCUGCCCCCAACUUUUGUAUAAGCCUGGGAAAAUGGGUCUAAUGCCCGAUAGCACUGCAGGGUGGUGCGGGUGGUGGCGACCGAUGUUCUUGUGGUUGCGGAUUAGCUCGUGGCCUAUCGGCUGGUUGGUGGGGUAAUGUCCUACGAAUACGGGGACGGGUAGCCGGCCUGGGAGGGUGGACGGCCACAUUGGGACGGAGACACGGCGCAGACUACUACGGGAAGCAGCAGUGGGGAGUAUGGAGCGAGGAGCGGAAGCCUGAUGCAGCGACGCUGAGUGGGGAAUGACGGGUGUGGGGUUGUGGACUCCUUUCGGCCGCGAGGAAGCCACUUGGUUGGAAGGGUGGUGACGGUAGUGGGAGAAGAAGCACCGGCUAACUACGUG
Molecule: ribosomal RNA, 494 nt
Filed under: uncultured bacterium
Lineage: Bacteria
Description: partial 16S ribosomal RNA
Rfam family: Bacterial small subunit ribosomal RNA
Source: RNAcentral